AAAGUAUGAAGGUUCCUGUAACUGGAGCGUCUUUAGGCCGAGUCUUGCAUCUCAGGUUCUUUAUACGUUGUCCUUCUUUGUGCCUGGCUCGACCGAUGGAUAUGUUGCUGAUGAGAAACAGGUCCAUCAUGAGAAGUUAUUUCGAAGGCCAUUGCUGACAAGAUUGCAUUGCAAGCUGCAUCUGAGGGCAUUCCGAUACUGCCGGAAAUGUUAUUGCCCGCAUGGAAACGAUAGGCAUUCUUUAAGCCAUGUCAAUGACGUGGUAGUAGUGCAUAUUGCAGCCUUGCAGAGAGGUCGAGUAGGGUAAAUACAUCAUUUGUGGACGUUUUGGACACAGCUGCAGGCAUUACUGGUACAAAAAAACCAAUUUCGAGAUUUGUUGGAUCAUAGCCUAAAAGCUUAGGUUCUGGUGGCAGGUGGACAAGGAUGUGGUGGUUGAUUGAAACAUGAGGUUGGGUUUCUGAAUCACCAAGAAGCUUCCUCACAUCCAGCCCCCCGGUACGUCAUGGUCCUAUAUGUUUGUUACUUUGCAUGAGAUUUAUGGAAAUUGCUUGCAUAUCUCCUGUACCCAACAUGAACAUCCAUCAAAUAGUUUGAGCUUUUGCAUCAAUCAUAGAGCCUUAAUCAAC
This is a long non-coding RNA of Cucurbita maxima (winter squash), 629 nucleotides long. RefSeq lists it as uncharacterized. NCBI's taxonomy places the organism in Eukaryota, Viridiplantae, Streptophyta, Magnoliopsida, Cucurbitales, Cucurbitaceae. The transcript has 3 exons. The record is from RefSeq and is a predicted model, not a curated record.